Non-coding RNA from Maylandia zebra (zebra mbuna), 870 nucleotides. NCBI's taxonomy places the organism in Eukaryota, Metazoa, Chordata, Actinopteri, Cichliformes, Cichlidae. The record is from RefSeq and is a predicted model, not a curated record.
UGCCCAAACUUUUGAGCACCAUCCUACUGUUCAUCCUCUACACCUGUAUACUCAUACUGGCUGUGUACACCUACAGGAAGUGGGCUCAAGCUCGAGCUGAAGCUGAAAGGAAAUGGCCUGAUCAUCUCUAACUCGAGUGCAGGAAGAAGAUGAUCAACAAUCAACAUAUCACUGGGAUUAAAGCAAUAGUCUUACACUGAUCCUUUCAACCUUAAUAACCUCUCAGCAGCAAUGAUGUUCGAUUUUGUAUGAAUCUAAAAUUAUAUAAACUGAACAGAAAACUGUCUCAUUUUCGCAUUUGAUGAGUUUUAUCUUUAAAGGACAAAUUGAGUGUCACAAUGUUAUGAAGAAGCACUCUGAGAGUGCAAACCUUCACCAGUGCCGCUCACGCUCCAGGCUGCAUUUGUUUUAUAUAGGAUUGUAUAUACAAACUAGUAUAUUGUCUUUUAUAAACCUGUUGUAAGAGAUUUGUCAAAUACUUCUUUAAUUUAUAAUUUGUCCUGUGGUUUAAUGUAUCAUUUUAUGCAUCAGUGUCUGUCUGUAUUACUGCUGUUCUAAAUACAUCAAAAAAUAUAUGUUCUUACUUUUAGAAACAUUACUCUUGUGUUACUCUGUAACCUGGCAUUAACUAUCUGCUGUGGUAAGUGGGAUGAAGAAAUAACCAGUAACCAGGCAGAUGUGCCUUUGACAUCAAAAAAUUUGAAAAAUAGUCUCACAAAUGUCCUCAUCAGCAUUGUGUCUGUCUCCACCUUGUGGGCAUUUUUACACUUGUUGCUUAUUUUAAUGCAAUCUGAACAUUUUAUAUAAAGUAAUUAAAAUACUUAUAAUGUUGGUUUAGAAAGUUCCUUUCAUAAAAGAUGACCCAGCGUC